AUGGCCUAGCUACAGAGAAAAGUCAAAGAGCACCUUGAAGCCUAUGAAGAAUGGACAGUGGGAUGAGCCUUAGGAAAAGGAAGAUAGAAGAGAAUAAAGGGAAGAAAACAGAGGGUUCCUAGCAGCAUGUCAGACUCAAUCGGAACCACCCUUACACUAUCAAUUUGGGACACUCCAGAAGCAAAGGGCCCCAGUCUUGAUGGCCUGAGGGCCCCAAGUCCAAGGGGCAGCACUUGGCAGAGGGACAAACACUGGAUAAUUAUUUUGGCCCUGAUUUUGGUGUUCUCAGCUCUGCGACGUUAGGCAAAUCAGCUAACCUCUGUGACCCUCAGCCUUUCCAUGCAUGAAAUGACAGUAACAAUGGCUCCCUCACAGGUGCAAGUAAGAAUGGAGAGAUCAAUUUUGUUUAGGAAAACAUCUUAAUAAACCACGUGGAAGCGUGGCCAGCAAUGAGACUCUGAAGUUACAAGCCAUCAAUAACCAAGACCAAAACCUAGAAAACCAAGUUUGAAAAAGCCAGAGUCCCAUAGAGGGUGGUUCUAUGAACUAGAGCGAGGAGGCUGAGCCUGGACACUGUGACCAAACCAUGGACUGUUCCCACAUUCUACAACCUGCAUUCAUUCCUUGUAAAUCUCUUGAUGAAUUUUUCACACAUUCUGGCCUCAGUUAUGUGGAUAUGGUCCCCAAAAGAUGUGAAAGUCCUUACUGGGGCAAAAGAACUCUUUCUCUCCCCUGUUGAGGUUUGAGUCUUCAAAAUGAACUGAUAAUAGACUGAUUAACUGGAGAAAAGGCAUAUAGACUUAUCAAGUGCAUGGAGCAUCACAGGAAAGUGAGUACCCAAUAAUCCAACAUGCUGUAUCAAUAGAAGUUUAUAUACUCAGAUAAUAACCUGGAACAAAGUUCGUCUGGGCUCUGGGUGUGGCGUCAACUCUAACGUUCCUUCCUGCGAGUCAGUCUUCCCUGUUUGAUGAGAUUAUAGGGAGUGGGGCUCAAGUCAGUUGCUUCCUUCUGGAGGAGCUUCCCUUAGUCAGAUACGGAAACUUCAGAAAAAGUGCUUCCCUUUGUCAGAUAUGGGAACUUCAGAAAAAUUUCCUCCCUGUGCUUCAGGAGAGGCAGAUAGGCAAGAGACAGCGGGCAGGAGGUGGUCAGAGAUACCUUGCUUCCAUGGCUGCUUCUUUAGUUCAAAAUACUCAGCAUGUCAAAAUGCCAUACUUAGGAGUGUUGUUUUCUGAGCUUUAACAUUCUAAUCCCCAGAACCUGUAAAUGUGCUGCUUUACAUGGUCAAAGGGACUUUGCAACUAUGAUUAAAUAAAGGACUUUUAAAUACAGAGAUUAUUCUGGAUUAUUCAGUGGGCCCAAUGUAAUCCCAUGGGUUCAUUUUUUAAAUUUUUAUUUUACUUUGAGACAGGGUCUUGCUCUGUCACCCAGGCUAGAGUGCAGUGACACAACACAGCUCACUGCAGCCUCAACCUCCCGGGCUCAAGCAAUUCUCCCACCUCGGCCCCGAGUAGCUGGGACUACAGGUACGCACCACCACACCCAGCAGAUUUUUUCAUUUUUUUGUAGAGACAAGGUCUCGCUAUGUUGCCAGGGCUGCUGUCAAACUCCUGGGCUCAAAUGAUCCUCCUGCAUCAGCCUCCCAAAGUGUUAGGAUUACAGGCGUGAGCCACUGCGCACAGCUCCCAUGGGUUCUUAUAGGGGGGAUGCAAGACAGUCAGAGAGAGAGAGAGAGAGACUGGAAGAUGCUAUACUGUAGGCUCUGAAGACAAAGAAAAACGCCAUGCAGGAGGAACACAGCCCUCCUGAUGCCUUGAUUUUAGCCCUGUGAAACCCAAUCUGGACUCAUCACCUUCAGAACUGUAUGAUAAUAAAUUUGUAUUGUUUAAGCC
Long non-coding RNA from Pan troglodytes (chimpanzee), 1889 nucleotides. RefSeq lists it as uncharacterized. The record is from RefSeq and is a predicted model, not a curated record. Lineage: Eukaryota; Metazoa; Chordata; Mammalia; Primates; Hominidae. The transcript is spliced from 3 exons.